RNAcentral lists this unclassified non-coding RNA (333 nucleotides) under uncultured fungus. Its description in RNAcentral is "partial contains small subunit ribosomal RNA, internal transcribed spacer 1, and 5.8S ribosomal RNA". The stretch from base 1 to 73 matches the Rfam family "Eukaryotic small subunit ribosomal RNA", at positions 1759 to 1831 of the family's 1831-position model. Lineage: Eukaryota; Fungi. The record is from RNAcentral.
UCAAACUUGGUCAUUUAGAGGAAGUAAAAGUCGUAACAAGGUUUCCGUAGGUGAACCUGCGGAAGGAUCAUUAACAAAUCCUUUGUUGUUUUGUGAUUAUUGCUUCUAAUUAUUUGCAUUGCUAUUCUAUUGUUUCAUUUGUUCUUGAAUGAGUGGGAUGGUAUGAUACAUGUGAAUGAUACGAACAAUGAUCAUAAACACAUUCGUUCCAUGUGCAACUCAUCCUUGUGCAUGACAACAUUUCUACGAAUUAGCUGAUUGUACACAUAAUAAUUAUAAAUAAUGACUUUUAACAAUGGAUCUCUAGGCUCUUGCAUCGAUGAAGAACGCAGC